CCUACGGGAGGCUGCAGUGAGGAAUAUUGGUCAAUGGGCGGAAGCCUGAACCAGCCAAGUAGCGUGCGGGAUGAAGGCCCUACGGGUCGUAAACCGCUUUUGCACGGGGAUAACACCCUCCACUUGUGGAGGUCUGCAGGUACCGUGCGAAUAAGGGCCGGCUAAUUCCGUGCCAGCAGCCGCGGUAAUACGGAAGGCCCGAGCGUUAUCCGGAUUCAUUGGGCUUAAAGGGAGCGUAGGCGGGCGUUCAAGUCAGCUGUAAAAUCUCGCGGCUCAACCGCGCCCCGCAGUUGAAACUGGACGCAUUGAGUUCACAACAGGCAGGCGGAAUUCGUGGUGUAGCGGUGAAAUGCAUAGAUAUCACGAGGAACCCCGAUUGCGAAGGCAGCCUGCCGGGGUGCGACUGACGCUGAGGCGCGAAGGUGCGGGUAUCAAACAGGAUUAGAUACCCUGGUAGUC
RNAcentral lists this ribosomal RNA (459 nucleotides) under uncultured bacterium. Its description in RNAcentral is "partial 16S ribosomal RNA". It matches the Rfam family "Bacterial small subunit ribosomal RNA", at positions 338 to 795 of the family's 1533-position model. The record is from RNAcentral.